This 443-nucleotide ribosomal RNA is filed under the name uncultured Glomeromycotina. RNAcentral describes it as "SSU rRNA". It matches the Rfam family "Eukaryotic small subunit ribosomal RNA", at positions 569 to 1016 of the family's 1831-position model. The record is from RNAcentral. Lineage: Eukaryota; Fungi; Glomeromycota.
AGCAGCCGCGGUAAUUCCAGCUCCAAUAGCGUAUAUUAAAGUUGUUGCAGUUAAAAAGCUCGUAGUUGAAUUUCGGGGUCAGUAGGUCGGUCGUGCCACUGGUAUGAACUGGUUUUACUGAUUCCUCCCUCUUGAAGAACUGUAAUGCCAUUAAUUUGGUGUUGCAGGGAAUCAGGACUGUUACUUUGAAAAAUUAGAGUGUUUAAAGCAGGCUUUAGCUUGAAUACAUUAGCAUGGAAUAAUGAAAUAGGACGUUUGAUCCUAUUUUGUUGGUUUCUAGGAUUGACGUAAUGAUUAAUAGGGAUAGUUGGGAGCAUUAGUAUUCAAUUGUCUGAGGUGAAAUUCUUGGAUUUAUUGAAGACUAACUACUGCGAAAGCAUUUGCCAAGGAUGUUUUCUAUUAAUCAAGAACGAAAGUUAGGGGAUCGAAGACGAUCAGAUACC